UAUCUUUAAAGUGAAGAGCCGCAUGGAUAUGAUAUCAGUUGCAAUGCAGUUUUAAGAAGACGACAAUGGUAAGUAAAUGAAAUUUUAUCUAAAAACUCUAUUCUCUCUUUUCCCUCUAUUAUUGAAGUAGCCGCCUCUAUAAUUUAAGGGGCUUUCAUCGGCUUUUAGUGUUGGAAAACUCCAAUCUUUUCUUCUUUUUAGCAGCCUUUGUUCAUCUUUUGUUUUUGUUCAAUAAAUUUCCAAUUUAUUUACGUUUUGUUUAGUGUCUCCUUGUGUGAGAGUUUGAUUUUGAUUUUCUUUAUUGUUCGUCACGUGAGAGAUUCUAGAUCUACAAGAUUUUGAUGGUGUUGAUUCGGUGAUGAAAGUUAUUAUGAUGGUACAUUUAUGGUCAGAUUGCUUAAAACAACAGUUGGAGGAUUACAAUAUGUAUGUAUAUCUUCAAGAAAUCGUUUAGUUGCCUAUCCAAGAUGGAAGGAUUCAACAACGAUAUUAUUAUGUGUUUGUUCAAUUUCGAUCAUAUAUGUAGAUGCCGUAUGACUUUUUAUUAUUGAAUGAAUAUCCUUGUUAAAAAAAAAGACAAAAAUAGUGAGCUCCAUAUUAGACCGCUUAAUUAUAAAUGACAGCUUUAUUCUCUAUUUUUUU
This 642-nucleotide long non-coding RNA is filed under the name Daucus carota (carrot). Its description in RNAcentral is "long non-coding RNA (DCAR_LNC005820)". The record is from RNAcentral. Lineage: Eukaryota; Viridiplantae; Streptophyta; Magnoliopsida; Apiales; Apiaceae.